Long non-coding RNA from Lolium rigidum, 318 nucleotides. RefSeq lists it as uncharacterized. The record is from RefSeq and is a predicted model, not a curated record. The transcript has 5 exons. NCBI's taxonomy places the organism in Eukaryota, Viridiplantae, Streptophyta, Magnoliopsida, Poales, Poaceae.
GAGGAAAGACGACAGAGAUUCUAGGAGGGAAAUAGAUAAACCUGGCUAAGUUGGGUGUUCUCUAGUUACGUGAGCUGCACACAAGUUUACAUCAUUUUAUCAGGCUGAUAAGGAUCAAACAAAAAGCAAGGGAACGAGGGACAAAGGCUUUUCAGAGUUCUGCUGAAGCUUCUAAGGAGUUGUCCCACAUUUAAGAGGCAUUCUGAAGACUUGAAGGUGAAACAGCGCUUUACGUGGUAGGAUGGUUGCUACAAAUAUCCGUUGUGCCGAGAAAACACAAUGGCCUUUCCUGCCAGCUCGCCAUCAACUACAAAUAAA